GCGGGUAUGGUUUAGUGGCAUAAUGCGACCUUCCCAAGGUUGAGACGCGAGUUCGAUUCUCGCUACCCGCA
Molecule: transfer RNA, 71 nt
Filed under: bacterium
Lineage: Bacteria
Description: tRNA-Gly
Rfam family: tRNA
About the family: Transfer RNA (tRNA) molecules are approximately 80 nucleotides in length.
Source: RNAcentral